RNAcentral lists this unclassified non-coding RNA (277 nucleotides) under plant metagenome. RNAcentral's name for it is "partial contains small subunit ribosomal RNA and internal transcribed spacer 1". The stretch from base 1 to 53 matches the Rfam family "Eukaryotic small subunit ribosomal RNA", at positions 1779 to 1831 of the family's 1831-position model. The record is from RNAcentral.
GGAGUAAAAGUCGUAACAAGGUUUCCGUAGGUGAACCUGCGGAAGGAUCAUUAUCGAAAUACUUAUUUAGCGUUCCGUGCUAUCCCAUUGUUUUAUUUACCCUGUUGCUUCCACUGGAUGAGUUUCCAUACCUUGUGUUUGAGAAACUUUGGCUUGUGUAAGAUUCAUUCACGGCCAGCCAGUGAGAAGACCAUUUACAAAACCCUGUUAAGAACCAAUUGUCUGAAUAUUUUACUCCAAUGAAAUAAAACUUUCAACAACGGAUCUCUAGGCUCUG